This is a long non-coding RNA of Oreochromis aureus, 965 nucleotides long. The record is from Ensembl. NCBI's taxonomy places the organism in Eukaryota, Metazoa, Chordata, Actinopteri, Cichliformes, Cichlidae.
AUGAGCUGGCCAGAAACCAGGCCUGUCCUGACCGUGGCACGCUCUCAGAGCCUCUGAUGUCACUGAUUCCAGUCUUGGGCCCAGCACCAGCACUGAGUCUGUGGAAAAGAUCUAAGAGCAUACUCAGGUACUAACUCUGAGUUGGUUCACUCAAUGAAAUUUCAGUUUAGGCUCAUUUUCAGUGAGCUUAGAUUCUGCUCUGGGUUGGAUGGAUUUCUGGUGUGUUUAAAUUGUUGUCUGGCUGUGCAGCAAUUCAUGCAGAUUCGAGAUCAGAUUAUGAACGGGAUGGGUCCUUCUGCUGCUUCCCACCUUUCACCUCCAUGCACCUGGGAUGAUUAACUCACCUCCUCAGGUUGAAACGCUGAGCUGGCUCCUUCCUCUUGCCCUGGAUGGAGUUCCUCCAUUUGAGCAGUCCUUCCCACUCCCGCCUUUUACCUGGAAAUAAUAUGUGUGGAGUGUGUCAGGCCGGAGGUUCCAACAGUUCUUUCCCAGAUUGUUGUCGCUGCGAUGUUACCAGCUCUGAACCUCCUCACACAUCUUACCUGGAAACCUGCUCACUUGUUGCCUCCAGAAACCCCCAGAACUACUCACCAGCCCCAUGUAAUCUGUCAAAGGAAGGACUUACCCGCUCACCUGCCUGCCCGCUCUUCAAGCGCUUUCUCCGCCACCUGUCUGAUACUCGCCAGCUACCUUCACACUCCCUCUGAGCCUCCCCUCACUUCCAACGCAACCAAGACCUCUGGUUCACUCUCAUUAUUCUCAUCAUCCUCUUGGGUUCCUGUUAAUCUCUUGUCUCCUGUCUAACAGAGCUUCCGUGUACCAGUCUAAAGUGUCUCCGAAUUUCUCCACCAACUGUCUGAACCCAUUAACAAUUCAUUCUUUCACAGUAAACAGUACGAACCUUUCUGCUGUUGUCUGAGUCUGCUCUUUGGGCCCGCUUUUUGCCAUAAUACGACAUUGUCGCU